CGGCGCGGGCACGACGGAACGACCCAGAAUAUAGAGUGUCUCCCUAAAACGGCAGAGAGCAGAGAUGUGCUCAAGGGGUAGUGAUAUCUCUGUGGAGACGGCAAAGGCAUCGGAGGAGAAGCGCGGGUGCGGGUGGUCACCGUGCGCUAGAUGGGGAUGGAGGGGAGGUGGUGCGGGGGCCGGCGGGGGCGGAGGUUAUCGCUUCUCGGCCUUUUGGCUAAGAUCAAGUGUAGUAUCUGUUCUUAUCAGUUUAAUAUCUGAUACGUCCUCUAUCCGAGGACAAUAUGUUGAGUGGGUUUUUGGAGCUGGGGGUUGGAGUAGGAGCUUGCUCCGUCCACUCCACGCAUCGACCUGGUAUUGCAGUACUGCCGGGAACGGUGCACUUCUCUCUCUUUACGUUGGUCUAACGAGAGAUCUAGGUUAAGCCUUGGCUUCUCCCUGUUUCUGUAUCCGCUUUUCACUUCCGGGCGUGCGGCGUUUCUGCACUGUUACCACUCGUCGCGUGGCUGCAGUUCUCCGAGGCUGGCGUUGACCCCGUUCUCCCUGGUGUGUGCACUGUUACCACUCGUCGCGUGGCUGCAGUUCUCCGAGGCUGGCGUUGACCCCGUUUUCCCUGGUGUGUGAGACGGUCUGGUCGGACGCAUUCCGCAGCUGCUGUCUCGCUGGCGAGACCUUGAACCUCAAGUUCUCUUCUCCGAUCUCCUAUAUGCUCCCAGGGCUCGCGGCUGUGUUUUCAGGGGGGCGCCGGCCUUUUCUCUCUCGACCCUCUCUCUCUCGUUCCGCUGGCCUUGGCUCCACGUAGUCGCUUACGCAUGCACGCUCUCGNCUGCAGUUCUCCGAGGCUGGCGUUGACCCCGUUUUCCCUGGUGUGUGAGACGGUCUGGUCGGACGCAUUCCGCAGCUGCUGUCUCGCUGGCGAGACUUUGAACCUUAAGUUCUCUUCUCCGAUCUCCUGUAUGCUCCCAGGGCUCGCGGCUGUUUUCUGGGGGGCGCCGGCCUUUUCUCUCUCGACCCUCUCUCUCGUUCCGCUGGCCUUGGCUCCACGUAGUCGCUUACGCAUGCACGCUCUCGCUCUCCUAACUGACCCCCGCGCCGGCGUUGGGUCACCAGCGACCAAGUCUGUCCAGCCGCAGGUCACUCCCUGGAAGGUCUGAGCUCCCUGUCUGUCUCAGACGUUUUUCCUGGUCGUCGUAACAGCCCCACAGACGGCCUCUCGAGACGUUCCUUGACGUGGGCCCACCCCCAGCCACUCACUGCCCUGGUCCGGCUCUGGAUCUAGCCUUUUACCAAGGGCUUUAACAACCCCUCCGCUCUGGGCAUCACACUCUCCAAUCACCUUCUCCCCUCUCUCGGCCCCUCCCUCCUUCAGCUACCCUCUGGUACCUGCCGCCUGAUGGUUUUCUUUCCUUUCUUUGUUUUGCUUUUUAAGGCCGCAGCCGUGGCAUGUGGAAGUUCCCAGGCUAGGGGUCUGAAUCCGCGCUGCGGCUGCCGGCCCACGCCACCGCCACCGCCACCGCCACCGCCACGCCCGAUCCAAGCCGUGUCUGCGACCUGUAUACCACAGCUCCGCGCAACGCCGGGUCCUUAACCCACUGAGCCAGGCCAGGGGUGGAACCCCUGUCCUCAUGGAUACUAGUCGGAGUCGUUACUGCUGAACCACGGCAGGAACUCUUUCGAGACAAGAAAAAGUUAAACACAGAUGAUGAUGAUGUUGUUGUUGUUGUUGUUGUUUUCCCCCCUCUGCCCCUUUGGGCCUCCUGCCUCCCCUCUAGUGUGCACUGUGCAUCUACCUGAAGCAUGAACCUGUCUUCCGCACCGCACCGCACCCCCACCCCCACCCCCACGCCCACGCCCACGCCCCGAGGCGGGAAUGAAUACUUGCUGGAUCCUCAAGAUCCACCGUUUUCUCCUUCUGGCGGCGGCCAUGUCACUCCUUAGAAGGUAGUACUGCCUUUCGCAUGACCCACCACUCACCUUGUGGUCUUUGGUGAAAGACGCUUUACGUACGAUGCCGCUAUAUCAUUUCCCUCAGAGACAGAGACUGGUACUUAGAACAGACUGGGUCAGACGACGUGCGGAGGUCCUGGGCACCUCCUGGGGUUCUUGGCCUAAAUACUUCCCGACGGCCUUGGUGGGGUUACUUGCAUUUCUGCCUGUUUUACGAGAUCAUUGUUCCUUGCAGUAGCCACCGUGUUGGCCGAGCCUCGGACUUGGUGACGUGCGACGAUGGAUCCGAUAUCGGCUUCUCCAAGACCAGUGAUUGCCACAGGGCGUUCGCGUCGUGGCGCAGCGGAAACGGAUCCGACUGGUACCCAUGGGGAUGCGGGUUCGAACGCCGGCCUCGCUCAGCGGGUCGGGGAUCCGGCGUUUCCGUGAGCUGUGGUGUAGGUAGCAGACGCGGCUCGGCUCCCACGCGGCUGUGGCUUAGGCCGACAGCUGUCGCUCCCCUUCGACCCCUAGCCUGGGACCUUCCAUAUGCCACUGGCGCCGCCCUAAAAAUAGAAAAAAGAAAAAAAAAAAUUGCAGCAGACUCAUAGACUUUGCCAACAGACUUACCCCUUUGGUUACCAAAGGGGAAAGGUGGGAGUUUGGGGGAGGGGUGGGAUCAAUGGGGGGGUUGGGGAUUAACCCCCACACACACGCGCUCCUAUGUUUAGAAGCGAGACCCGACAGGCACCUUCCCUGUGUGUGUCGCAUAGGGAACUCGACUCCACAUGCUGUAAUAACCUGUAUGGGAAAAGAAUCUGAAAAAGGAAUGGAUAGUGCAUAACUUGAUGGCUUUGCUGUACCCCUGAGCCAACAGGACAUUGUACAUCAGCUGUACUCCGAUACAAAAUACAAAAUUAAAGAAAAUCAGCGACGGCAAUGGUGUAAUUCUAGAGGGGAGAGAGAAAGCAACACGAGGGAACCAUUUCCUGACUUGUGAGACGUUUCCAGACUAGUGGGACAGGCGGUCGGGAGGCUUUGGGCUAUGGUGAACAGGGCAUCGGCUGGUAACGGCACAUUGGCCUUGAUGAGCAACGUAAUCCUUGCCCGACCUGCGACUGAGCAUUCCUAGCCAAGUGGGACCGUGUGGUCAAGCAACGCACCCCUCCCACCCCCGGCCCCGCCAAGCCGCGGUGGACCUUAAGACCGAGAGGGAGGGGCUCGUAAACUCAAGAACGUCGCCCGCCAUCUCUGUAAGAAUCAAGUCCAGGAGUUCCCGUCGUGGCGCAGUGGCUAACCAAUCGGACGAGGAACCAUGAGGUCGCGGGUUCGGUCCCUGCCCUUGCUCAGCGGGUUAAGGAUCCGGCGUCGCCCUGAGCUGUGGUGAAGGCCGCAGACGCGGCUCGGAUCCCGUGCUGCUGUGGCUGUGGCGUAGGCCGGUGGCUACAGCUCCGAUGAGACUCCUAGCCUGGGAACCUCCAUAUGCCGCGGGAGCGGCCCAAGAAAUGGCAGAAAGACCAAAAGAAGAAAAAAAAAAAAGAAGAAGAAUCAAGUCCAGUCGGAGUUCCCCCAGGAACGUCCACAUGCCUCCUGCAUGGCAUAAAUAAAUAAAUAAAUAAAUAAAUAAAUAAACGAACU
Molecule: long non-coding RNA, 3564 nt
Filed under: Sus scrofa (pig)
Lineage: Eukaryota; Metazoa; Chordata; Mammalia; Artiodactyla; Suidae
Description: lncRNA (ENSSSCG00025048348.1)
Rfam family: U2 spliceosomal RNA (bases 198-388)
Source: RNAcentral